AGCUCCAAUAGCGUAUAUUAAAAUUGUUGCGGUUAAAACGCUCGUAGUUGGAUAUCUGGUAAGGGCUUUCGGUCCACCCGAGUGGUGAAUACGCGGAAGUCUUCUUAUCAUUUGUUCAGGGAACGUGUUUGCACUUUGUUGUGUGUCACAUGAUCUGGAUUUUUACUUUGAGGAAAUGAGAGUGUUUCAAGCAGGCUUUUGCCAUGAAUAUGAUAGCAUGGAAUAAUAGCAUAGGACCCUUUCCAAAGCUGUUGGUUUUUGGAACGAGGUAAUCAGAAUAAGGAUAGUUGGGGGUAUUCGUAUUUAACUGUCAGAGGUGAAAUUCUUGGAUUUUUUAAAGACGAACUAUUGCGAAGGCAUCUGCCCAGGAUGUUUUUG
RNAcentral lists this ribosomal RNA (378 nucleotides) under uncultured eukaryote. RNAcentral describes it as "SSU rRNA". It matches the Rfam family "Eukaryotic small subunit ribosomal RNA", at positions 587 to 972 of the family's 1831-position model. The record is from RNAcentral.